This 411-nucleotide ribosomal RNA is filed under the name Triticum aestivum (bread wheat). RNAcentral's name for it is "partial small subunit ribosomal RNA". Lineage: Eukaryota; Viridiplantae; Streptophyta; Magnoliopsida; Poales; Poaceae. The record is from RNAcentral.
AUGAACUCUUCCGCAUACUCCCAGGAGCUCGGGUCCCUACCAAUGGCGCACGCAUUGACGACCACACGCGUCCCAGCAGGAACUAUGUAUCCAUCGAUGGUGCAGUCAGCCAUGGCAAGGUGCGGAGCAAGGAGAGGAGCAAGACGAUGUAGCCGGAGCGACUCUUUUAUGGCUGCUCUUAGGUACGUCAUGUUGUUCAUGUCGGUUUCACUAAUAAUUUCUCGUCCUCGGGGUGCAAUACCCCUCACUUCAUCUUGUAGCUUCACCAUAAGUUGUGGCUUCCUCAUGAGCUCAGCCAAGGUAAAUUCGAGAGCAUUAGCUGAUCUGUCUAUCGCACCAAAAAAUACAUCCUGCGUAUAUCAAUUAAUUAGAACAAUGAAAGAUGUAUACACAUCAACAUGUUUAGUUUGA